Long non-coding RNA from Eptesicus fuscus (big brown bat), 469 nucleotides. RefSeq lists it as uncharacterized. NCBI's taxonomy places the organism in Eukaryota, Metazoa, Chordata, Mammalia, Chiroptera, Vespertilionidae. The record is from RefSeq and is a predicted model, not a curated record. The transcript is spliced from 4 exons.
ACACAUCUUCUCACCGGGGCAGCUGGGUUUUCUUCAGGUAUUGCGCAUUUCUCUGAAUCCUUAAGUAAUUUUGCUGAAACUCUAAGUUGGUUUCCAGAUGAUGGAGUACCAUUAUUAUGAACAUCUGCUAUUUCACGAUCCGUAAAGCAAAGAAUAGAAAAGUGAAAUUUGUAACAUCAAGACACAAAAUGAAGACAGAGACACUAUGACUUGCAAAGGAUCAUGGCAGUAAUGUGAAAGGAGAAAAUUGUAUGCCUAGCUGCAUGUGUCCUAUGAUACCAAGAACUGAAAGCAUGUGUGGAGUAGAAGAAAAAAAUAUUGAAAUGAAUGGAUCUAGAAUCUAGUCUGUGGAAGAUUCUUUCAAUAAUCAAACCUGUUGAAUUGUGAACAAAGAGUUCACGUCGCAUGGUGAACACUUCAAAACAGAAAUGUCCUCCUAUUCUGAAUAAACUCAAUAAUGCCACAGUGA